CUCGGACGGUCAGACUGUUCGGCCUGGGAAUCGUCCAGGCAACCGGUUCCAUUUUACCCAAAACCCAAAAUCUGGUAAAACGGAAAGGUUUGGCACCUUGAUGUCGGUUCUUCGCCACCUGAGGUUGUAUUAUGUUCUAAGGGUUGGGGUAUUCGUCCAUUAAAGUGGUACGUGAGUUGGAUUUAGAACAUCGUGAGACAGUUCGGUCCAUAUCCRG
This 217-nucleotide non-coding RNA is filed under the name Nelumbo nucifera (sacred lotus). RNAcentral's name for it is "Bacterial large subunit ribosomal RNA". It matches the Rfam family "Bacterial large subunit ribosomal RNA", at positions 2075 to 2645 of the family's 2925-position model. The record is from Rfam by way of RNAcentral. Lineage: Eukaryota; Viridiplantae; Streptophyta; Magnoliopsida; Proteales; Nelumbonaceae.